GACCUGGGAAAGGAAAGAGCCAGUUGAGGAAAAGCCCUUUGUCCCUUCUUUGUUUAUAUCUCCAACUUCCCGAUUUUUCCUGUGGCUGUGAUGGCCAGGAUGUGGCAGCCCUCUGGUUAUAACAGUGUCACAAAUCCUUCAUUGAGGCUGCCUUGCAACCCAAGCUCUGCCUCUCUCCAAUCCUCUCUUUCCCUCCCUUCAUAGGUGCAGAUGCUGAGAGCACUUUCUAGUCAAGUCCUGCAUGUUCAUUUCUGUCUCAAGUCAGCUUCUCUGAGAAUCCAAUUUAUAAAAAUAUAUUUGUGAAUGUAUAAGUAAAGUGACUUGGAUUUUGUCUACGUACAAGGACUUCUAUGCCUGCAUAAAACAGCUUUCAGAGUGACUAACCAUACCAGUUUGACCAAGACUGUAUUGGCUGCAGCACUUAAAAGCUCACAUCCCGGAAAUCCUUUGGUCCUCGGUGAAUUGGGAUGGUUGGUUACCCUAUUACUGAUGAUUGUAAUUCUCAGGAAAGAGAUCUUCAUGUAAACAGAGUCCCUCUUAUUGGCUGAAGUGAAGAGUCAUUCUGAGGCAUCUCAAGAUGAAGGUUUCCUAUUUGUGAUUAUGAAAAAAAUGUCAAGAACAAGUCCCUUGGUGUUCUUAGACCAAAGUCAGAACAACAGACCUACUGGAAUAAACCCCUGUGGCCAAUCUUCUAUGAAUGAAAUUGUCCAUCUUUCCUAGGAAUGAGUCAAUCUGUGUAUUUGUGAAUUUCAAAUAUAAGUGUGACUACUAUGGUAGAAGGAAAUAGCUGUCAGAAUAAAGAGAAAAGGAGA
Homo sapiens (human) is the source of this 812-nucleotide long non-coding RNA. Ensembl annotates it as long intergenic non-protein coding RNA 1524. NCBI's taxonomy places the organism in Eukaryota, Metazoa, Chordata, Mammalia, Primates, Hominidae. The record is from Ensembl.